GGAUGUGAGGGCGAUCUGGCUGCGACAUAUGUCACCCCAUUGAUCGCCAGGGUUGAUUCGGCUGAUCUGGCUGGCUAGGCGGGUGUCCCCCUCCUCCCUCACCGGUCCAUGUGCGUCCCUCCUGAAGCUGCGCGCUUGGUUGAAGAGGAUGACCUCCCCCCCCCCCCAGGAGAGGACCGGUCUUUGGUCAAGGGUAUACGAGUAGCUGCGCUCCCCUGCUAGAACCUCCAAACAAGCUCUCAAAAUGCAAUCUGAGCCCUAGCUGGUUUGGCUCAGUGGAUAGAGC
Molecule: non-coding RNA, 286 nt
Organism: Myotis lucifugus (little brown bat)
Lineage: Eukaryota; Metazoa; Chordata; Mammalia; Chiroptera; Vespertilionidae
Source: Rfam